Long non-coding RNA from Vigna angularis (adzuki bean), 273 nucleotides. RefSeq lists it as uncharacterized. Lineage: Eukaryota; Viridiplantae; Streptophyta; Magnoliopsida; Fabales; Fabaceae. The record is from RefSeq and is a predicted model, not a curated record. The transcript is spliced from 3 exons.
GCACUAGUGUUGAUGUAAACCAAUUGUAUACAGCAGUCAGCAUCAGAGAGAUGAACGUACACAGGGUUGUAAGCGAGAUAAUUGGCCAAAGCUUGAGCACGACUUCAAUUUACACUUUGGCCCCAAUGAAAUACGUUGAUAACAUGGUGGUGUUAUUUGCUUGUACGGUCUUUAUGUACUUUGAGAAAAGGUUGUGCGGUGUUGUUAAGAGGAUUCAUUUUAGUCCGUUAUACUCGGUAAAUAAAAUUUGAUAUUGUAUCAUAUUUAUGAUUG